RNAcentral lists this ribosomal RNA (501 nucleotides) under uncultured bacterium. RNAcentral describes it as "partial 16S ribosomal RNA". It matches the Rfam family "Bacterial small subunit ribosomal RNA", at positions 30 to 523 of the family's 1533-position model. The record is from RNAcentral.
AUUGAACGCUGGCGGCAGGCUUAACACAUGCAAGUCGAGCGGAGAUGAGGUGCUUGCUCCUUAUCUUAGCGGCGGACGGGUGAGUAAUGCUUAGGAAUCUGCCUAUUAGUGGGGGACAACAUUCCGAAAGGAAUGCUAAUACCGCAUACGUCCUACGGGAGAAAGCAGGGGAUCUUCGGACCUUGCGCUAAUAGAUGAGCCUAAGUCGGAUUAGCUAGUUGGUGGGGUAAAGGCCUACCAAGGCGACGAUCUGUAGCGGGUCUGAGAGGAUGAUCCGCCACACUGGGACUGAGACACGGCCCAGACUCCUACGGGAGGCAGCAGUGGGGAAUAUUGGACAAUGGGGGAAACCCUGAUCCAGCCAUGCCGCGUGUGUGAAGAAGGCCUUAUGGUUGUAAAGCACUUUAAGCGAGGAGGAGGCUACUGAGACUAAUACUCUUGGAUAGUGGACGUUACUCGCAGAAUAAGCACCGGCUAAUUCUGUGCCAGCCGCCGCGGUAA